Molecule: ribosomal RNA, 119 nt
Filed under: Mastacembelus armatus (zig-zag eel)
Lineage: Eukaryota; Metazoa; Chordata; Actinopteri; Synbranchiformes; Mastacembelidae
Source: RNAcentral
AUCUACGACCAUACCGUCCUGCCUGUGCCCAAUCCCGUCCGAUCUCGGAAGCUAAGCAGGACCGGGCCUGGUUAGUACUUGGACGGGAGACCUCCUGGGAAUACCAGGUGCUGUAGGCU